RNAcentral lists this ribosomal RNA (96 nucleotides) under uncultured eukaryote. Its description in RNAcentral is "partial small subunit ribosomal RNA". The record is from RNAcentral.
UCGUUGUUUCCGAUGAUGGUGCAAUACAGGUGAUCGGACUGGCGAGAGUCUCUCUUGCCGGAAAGUUCACCGAUAUUUCUUCAUUAGAGGAAGUAA